CCUCCUUUGCCUGGCAAAGCAAUAAAGCUAUUUUUUCUUCCUUUGCUCAGAGCUCUAUUUGGCACCGGAGUUCCCAUCUUGGCACAGUGGAGACAAAUCUGACUAGGAACCAUGAGGCUGUGGGUUCGAUCUCUGGCCUCGCUCAGUGGGUUAAGUAUCCAGCAUUGCCAUGAGCUGUGGUGUAGGUCACAGACGCAGCUCGGAUCUGGUAUUGCUGUUGCUGUGGCGUAGGCAGGUAGCUGUAGCUCCUAUUAGACCCCUAGCCUGGGAAACUCUGUAUGCUGUGAGUGCAGCCCUAAAAAAAAAAAAAAAAAAAAAGAAUCCCUAAAAAGAGUCAGUUUAGUGAAAGUCCUCUAUAUCAGAUCAAAUUCCUCAUCCUGCUCCCUUGAUAUGCUGUUAUCCUGGGCCAGCCUUCAACAGGAACCCUGUUGAGUCAAUCCAGGAAGAAUUUCCCUGACCCCUGAUGGUUCCUCUUAAUAACUUUUAUCUCCUUGGCUGAAAAUCUCCACUUGUCCUCUUUAUAUUCAGAGUUGAGUCCACUUCUCCUCCCUUACUACAAAACCCUCAUUGCAGUAUUUCAUCUUGAAUGAAAUCUGCCUUACUCUAAAAGUAUCAUAGACUUUUUUUUAAAAUAACACCAACCCGUUCACAUUUGUAUCCAGAAGUGGCAUGUCACUUCAAAAGCAGGUCUCUAUUGCUUUCUCCUCCUUCUUUUUCAUGUUGUUUUGAUUGUUUGGUGAACAGAAUUAUUUAGUUUCGUAAGUAAAUUAUAAGUACUAUAAAUUCAUACUAUUUCCACUUAGUGUCUGAAGAAAAUAAUCUUUUAACUUCAUUUCCAUUAAAAUUUUUUUAUAUUAACUCUGCAAUUAAAUUUAGCCACUUUAGAUUUUCAAAGAUAGAUGUAUUUUCAUCUAAAAACUAUUCAAUCAAAAAAGAAUUUGAGUUCCCAUUGUGGCUCAGCAGGUUAAGGACCCAACCUAGUGUCCAUGAGGAUUCAGUUUUGAUCCCUGGCCUUGCCCAGUGAGUUAAGGAUCCUGCAUUGCCCAAACUGUGGCAUUGGUAACAGAUGUGGCUUGGAUCUAGUGUUACUAUGGCUGUGGCGUAGGCUGGCAGCUACAAGUCCAAUUCAACUUCUAGCCAAGGAACUUCUAUAUGCCACAGGUGUGGCCAAAAAGAAAAAGAAAAGGAGUUUAGGAGUUUGCGUCGUGGCUCAGCGGUUAACGAAUCCGACUAGGAACCACAAGGUUAUGGGUUCAAUCCCUGGUCUUGCUCAGUGGGUUAAGGAUCCAGCAUUGCUGUGGCUGUGGCGUAGGCCGGCGGCUACAGCUCUGAUUAGACACCUAGCCUGGGAAACUCCAUAUGCCGCAGGAGCA
RNAcentral lists this long non-coding RNA (1373 nucleotides) under Sus scrofa (pig). RNAcentral describes it as "lncRNA (ENSSSCG00000044378.1)". The record is from RNAcentral. Lineage: Eukaryota; Metazoa; Chordata; Mammalia; Artiodactyla; Suidae.